RNAcentral lists this ribosomal RNA (513 nucleotides) under Klebsiella pneumoniae. Its description in RNAcentral is "partial 23S ribosomal RNA". It matches the Rfam family "Bacterial large subunit ribosomal RNA", at positions 2279 to 2791 of the family's 2925-position model. The record is from RNAcentral. Lineage: Bacteria; Pseudomonadati; Pseudomonadota; Gammaproteobacteria; Enterobacterales; Enterobacteriaceae.
GCGGUCUCCUCCCAAAGCGUAACGGAGGAGCACGAAGGUUAGCUAAUCCUGGUCGGACAUCAGGAGGUUAGUGCAAUGGCAUAAGCUAGCUUGACUGCGAGCGUGACGGCGCGAGCAGGUGCGAAAGCAGGUCAUAGUGAUCCGGUGGUUCUGAAUGGAAGGGCCAUCGCUCAACGGAUAAAAGGUACUCCGGGGAUAACAGGCUGAUACCGCCCAAGAGUUCAUAUCGACGGCGGUGUUUGGCACCUCGAUGUCGGCUCAUCACAUCCUGGGGCUGAAGUAGGUCCCAAGGGUAUGGCUGUUCGCCAUUUAAAGUGGUACGCGAGCUGGGUUUAGAACGUCGUGAGACAGUUCGGUCCCUAUCUGCCGUGGGCGCUGGAGAAUUGAGGGGGGCUGCUCCUAGUACGAGAGGACCGGAGUGGACGCAUCACUGGUGUUCGGGUUGUCAUGCCAAUGGCACUGCCCGGUAGCUAAAUGCGGAAGAGAUAAGUGCUGAAAGCAUCUAAGCACGAA